UACGGAAGGUCCGGGCGUUAUCCGGAUUUAUUGGGUUUAAAGGGAGCGUAGGCCGGUCUUUAAGCGUGCCGUGAAAUUUUGUGGCUCAACCAUAAAAUUGCCGUUGAAACUGGAAGACUUGAGUGUGUUUGAGGUAGGCGGAAUGCGUGGUGUAGCGGUGAAAUGCAUAGAUAUCACGCAGAACGCCGAUUGCGAAGGCAGCAUACCGGCGCCCAACUGACGCUGAGGCACGAAAGCGUGGGUAUCGAACAGG
This 253-nucleotide ribosomal RNA is filed under the name uncultured bacterium. Its description in RNAcentral is "partial 16S ribosomal RNA". It matches the Rfam family "Bacterial small subunit ribosomal RNA", at positions 524 to 776 of the family's 1533-position model. The record is from RNAcentral.